AGCCCCCAAAGGGCUGGCAGCCCUCACGUCCCUUGGGAUCUGCGGGAGGAGCUGUGCCUGCAGCGUGCCGAACACACGUCCCGGUGUAGGCACCGGGGUACCGGGACAGCGCUGGCACAGACACGGCUGAAGCGCUGCCUGUGGCCCCGCAGCCAGGGGCUGCUCUGAACAGGCACACGGAGAUACCUCAGCCCGGACAGACACCACCGACAGCCCAGAAGGACCCCAAGGAGCAGCGGGCAUUGCCUGGAAUGGAGGCACGGACCGUUUGCAGAGGGGCUCAGACAGCAGUUCCCAUUUCUGACCUCCCAGAGUUCCCACGCAGCUCCCAGAUAUUGAAUCCCAAGCAGUAUACCUGGGAGAUGCCUCAAAAUCAGAGGUUCAAGCGGGAUGAAGUUUGGAACUUCCCAGGGAGCCAGCUGAAGUGCAGAAGUGAAGGAAAACUUUUGCAGGUGGGUGAGGCCGCUGCAAUGUCACCUGAAUCGGGAGGUGAGGCCGCUGCAAUGUCACCUGGAUCGGGAGGUGAGGCCGCUGCAAUGCCGGCUGAAUCGGGAGGUGAGGCCGCUGGAAUGUCACCUGGAUCGGGAGUGAGAGGAACAUGAACUCACAGCCACCGAGGCCUGACGGGUUCCUGCAGUGAGAGCUCAGCGCGCGUCCACAGAGAGAGAGAGGGGAGAUGUGGGAAUUGGAAAACCAGAAACUUCCAGAGCCACCCAAAGAUUGGAUCUGCAGCCUGGGAAGAAGCUUGGAUUGAUGCAGAAAUACAAUACACAGGCAUUAACAGGAAAAUAAUACAUAAAGCAGGUAGAGCUGUGAUGGUUUCUAAUUAAUGGCCAAUCACACUCAGCUGGCUCACACUCUCUGUGCCAGCCACAAGCCUUUGUUAUUCAUUCCUUCCUUUUCUACUCUUAGCUGGCCUGCUGAUGAGAUCCUUUCUUCUAUUCUUUCAGUAUAGUUUAAUGUGACACAUACCAUAAAAUAAUAAAUCAGCCCUGUGACCCAUGGA
Molecule: long non-coding RNA, 1006 nt
Organism: Melospiza melodia melodia
Lineage: Eukaryota; Metazoa; Chordata; Aves; Passeriformes; Passerellidae
Exons: 5
Source: RefSeq, a predicted model, not a curated record